AAGACUAUAGACCUGCGGAGUACCUGCGGAAGGAUCAUUAACGUAUCUAUGAUGGGGUGCGGAGCGCCCUGCUCCGGUCGAACGGCCGUGCAGCGGGUGCGCCGCCCCCGUCCCACCUCACAAACCCACUGUGAACAUUCACCGGUGGAGGGGGCUCGGUCUGCGCCGUGUCCCCGAUGCCGGAUACCCAAACUCCAGUUGCAAAGAACGUCGUGCGGACUCGGUGCCGCCUAAAACAUG
RNAcentral lists this unclassified non-coding RNA (240 nucleotides) under soil metagenome. RNAcentral describes it as "partial contains 5.8S ribosomal RNA, internal transcribed spacer 2, and large subunit ribosomal RNA". The record is from RNAcentral.